UACGGAGGAUCCAAGCGUUAUCCGGAUUCAUUGGGUUUAAAGGGUGCGUAGGCGGAUUUGUAAGUCAGUGGUGAAAUCCUGCAGCUUAACUGUAGAACUGCCAUUGAUACUGCAAGUCUUGAGUGUGUUUGAAGUGGGCGGAAUGUGUCAUGUAGCGGUGAAAUGCUUAGAUAUGACACAGAACACCGAUUGCGUAGGCAGCUCACUAAACCACAACUGACGCUGAGGCACGACAGCGUGGGGAUCAAACAGG
RNAcentral lists this ribosomal RNA (253 nucleotides) under uncultured bacterium. Its description in RNAcentral is "partial 16S ribosomal RNA". It matches the Rfam family "Bacterial small subunit ribosomal RNA", at positions 524 to 776 of the family's 1533-position model. The record is from RNAcentral.